RNAcentral lists this ribosomal RNA (403 nucleotides) under uncultured bacterium. Its description in RNAcentral is "partial 16S ribosomal RNA". It matches the Rfam family "Bacterial small subunit ribosomal RNA", at positions 29 to 526 of the family's 1533-position model. The record is from RNAcentral.
AUUGAACGCUGGCGGCAGGCCUAACACAUGCAAGUCGAGCGAGCGGCGGACGGGUGAGUAAUGUAUGGGGACUGCCCGAUAGAGGGGGAUAACUACUGGAAACGGUGGCUAAUACCGCAUACUAUCGGAUAACCCAUAUGGGAUUAGCUAGUAGGUGGGGUAAAGGCUCACCUAGGCGACGAUCUCUAGCUGGUCUGAGAGGAUGAUCAGCCACACUGGGACUUAGAACAGGCCCCGACUCCGACGGGGGCAGGCGGGGGGAAUAUUUGACAAUGGGGGCAAGUCCGAUUGAGCCCUGCCGGGUGGUUGAAAAAGGCCUUAGGGGUGGAAAGUACUUUCAGCGGGGAGGCGUUACCCGCAGAAGAAGCACCGGCUAACUCCGUGCCAGCAGCCGCGGUAAUAC